CCUACGGGAGGCAGCAGUGAGGAAUCUUGGUCAAUGGACGGAAGUCUGAACCAGCCAUGCCGCGUGCAGGAAGACGGCUCUAUGAGUUGUAAACUGCUUUUGUACAGGGGUAAAACUGAAUACGUGUAUUAAGCUGCAAGUACUGUAUGAAUAAGGAUCGGCUAACUCCGUGCCAGCAGCCGCGGUCAUACGGAGGAUCCAAGCGUUAUCCGGAGUUAUUGGGUUUAAAGGGUGCGUAGGCGGAUUGUUAAGUUUGAGGUGAAAUGUCCGGGCUUAACUCGGGAACUGCCUUUAAUACUGUUGAUCUAGAGAGUAGAUGCGGUAGGCGGAAUGUAUGGUGUAGCGGUGAAAUGCUUAGAUA
This 361-nucleotide ribosomal RNA is filed under the name uncultured bacterium. Its description in RNAcentral is "partial 16S ribosomal RNA". It matches the Rfam family "Bacterial small subunit ribosomal RNA", at positions 338 to 696 of the family's 1533-position model. The record is from RNAcentral.